UACGUAGGAUCCGAGCAUUAUCCGGAGUGACUGGGUGUAAAGAGUUGCGUAGGUGGCAUAAUAAGUAGCUAGUGGAAAUCUGGUGGCUCAACCAUUCAGACUAUUAGCUAAACUGUUAAGCUCGAGACCGUUAGGGGUAACUGGAAUUUCUAGUGUAGGAGUGAAAUCCGUAGAUAUUAGAAGGAACACCAAUAGCGUAGGCAGGUUACUGGGACGGUUCUGACACUAAGGCACGAAAGCGUAGGGAGCAAACGGG
Molecule: ribosomal RNA, 256 nt
Filed under: uncultured bacterium
Lineage: Bacteria
Description: partial 16S ribosomal RNA
Rfam family: Bacterial small subunit ribosomal RNA
Source: RNAcentral